UUCGGGCGUGGGCGACGUUUAUCUGGGUCCACUGGUGCUGGGCUGGCAUGGCCCGCAGUGGGACGCUGUGGCCGGUGCC
Molecule: transfer RNA, 79 nt
Filed under: bioreactor metagenome
Description: tRNA-Thr
Source: RNAcentral